CCCCUUGUACCUUUUGCAUCAUGAUCUAGCAAGAACAACCAGGCAAAGUGAGCUUAAGUCUGCCACCCCGAAACCCAAGCGAGCUACUCACAAGCAGCUGCCACGAGCGAACCCGUCUCUGUUGCAAAAGAGUGGGACGACUUGUUAGUAGAGGUGAAAAGCCAACCGAGCUGGGUGAUAGCUGGUUGCCUACAAAACGAAUCUAAGUUCUCCCUUAACCUCUUCCCCACCAGACAAACCUCAACCCAAAUGUAAGAGUUAAGAGCUAUUUAAAGGGGGUACAGCCCCUUUAAAAAAGGACACAACCUCAACCAGCGGAUAACUUCAACGUACCUAACCCCGUGGGCCUUAAAGCAGCCACCCCCGAAGAUUGCGUCAAAGCUCCAUCGACUAAAAACACCAAAGACUAACACGACUCCCUGCACCAAUAGUAGGCUAACCUAUAACAAUAGAUGAAUCAAUACUAGAACGAGUAACCAGGACACCACGUCCCCCCAAGCGCCAGCCUAAACGCCAUUAACAGCACAAACCUCAAUAACAACCACACCACCCCCACCAUUGAACAUACCCUGUCAAUCCAACUCAGGGGCGCACAUUGGAGUGAUCAAAGUCUACAAAAGGAACUCGGCAAACCCAAGACCCGACUGUUUACCAAAAACAUAGCCUUCAGCCAAACAAGUAUUGAAGGUGAUGCCUGCCCAGUGACACCAUGUUUAACGGCCGCGGUAUCCUAACCGUGCAAAGGUAGCGCAAUCAAUUGUCCCAUAAAUCGAGACCUGUAUGAAUGGCUAAACGAGGUCUUAACUGUCUCCUGUAGACAAUCGGUGAAACUGAUCUCUCUGUACAAAAGCAGAGAUAA
This 859-nucleotide ribosomal RNA is filed under the name Psittacara finschi (crimson-fronted parakeet). RNAcentral's name for it is "partial 16S ribosomal RNA". It matches the Rfam family "Bacterial large subunit ribosomal RNA", at positions 595 to 2070 of the family's 2925-position model. Lineage: Eukaryota; Metazoa; Chordata; Aves; Psittaciformes; Psittacidae. The record is from RNAcentral.